GACAGAGGUGGCAAGCGUUGUUCGGAAUCACUGGGCUUAAAGGGCGCGUAGGCGGUAUUGCAAGUGUGUGGUGGAAUCUCACGGCUUAACCGUGGAACUGCCAUGCAGACUGCGGUACUUGAGUUAUCGAGGGGAAAGCGGAAUUCCAGGUGUAGCGGUGAAAUGCGUAGAUAUCUGGAGGAAGGCCUGUGGCGAAGGCGGCUUUCUGGCGAUCAACUGACGCUGAGGCGCGAAAGCGUGGGGAG
Molecule: ribosomal RNA, 245 nt
Filed under: uncultured bacterium
Lineage: Bacteria
Description: partial 16S ribosomal RNA
Rfam family: Bacterial small subunit ribosomal RNA
Source: RNAcentral